AGUGAAUAGAUACCCCGGUAGUCCACGCUGUAAACGUUGUGUACUAGGUGUUAGUGACUUGUUCACUAGUGCCGACGCUAAACGCAUUAAGUACACCGCCUGGGGAGUACGGCCGCAAGGCUUAAACUCAAAGAAAUUGAUGGGGGCCCGCACAAGCGGUGGAGCAUGUGGUUUAAAUUCGAUGAUACGCGAAAAACCUUACCUGGGCUUGAACUGUACAUGACAGGUGUAGAGAUACACCCUUCUUCGGACAUGUAUAGAGGUGCUGCAUGGCUGUCGUCAGCUCGUGUCGUGAGAUGUUGGGUUAAGUCCCGCAACGAGCGCAACCCUUACCCCUUGUUGCUAACAGGUAACGCUGGGCACUCUAGGGGAACUGCCGGUGAUAAACCGGAGGAAGGUGGGGAUGACGUCAAGUCAUCACGGCCCUUAUGUCCAGGGCUACACACGUGCUACAAUGGCCGGUACAAAGAGACGCAAUGCCGCGAGGUGGAGCAAAUCUCAAAAAACCCGGUCUCAGUUCGGAUUGUAGUCCGCAACUCGACU
This 543-nucleotide ribosomal RNA is filed under the name uncultured bacterium. RNAcentral describes it as "bacterial SSU rRNA". It matches the Rfam family "Bacterial small subunit ribosomal RNA", at positions 773 to 1317 of the family's 1533-position model. The record is from RNAcentral.